GGGCUCAGAGGCUGAACCCGGGGCUUCUCUGCCAUGGCCUGGACCCCUCUGCUGCUCCCCCUGCUCAUUCUCUGCACAGGCUCUGUGGCCUCCUAUGAGCUGACCCAGUCGGGCCAUUUGUCAGUGGCCCCGGGAGAGACGGCCAGCAUGACCUGCACUGGAGAUUUACUGGAUGAAAAAUAUACUGACUGGUACCAGCAGAAGCCCGGCCAGGCCCCUGUGCUGGUUAUUUACAAUGAUAGCGAGCGGCCCUCGGGGAUCCCGGACCGGUUCUCGGGCUCCAGCUCUGGGAAGACAAACACCCUGACCAUCAGCGGGGUCCUGGCUGAGGAUGAGGCUGACUAUUACUGUUUGUCUAGUACCAGUGAUGGCACUUCUCACAGUGACACAGCAGAUGGGGAAUGUCUCCCCAGGUCUCCCAGCCAAUCUGAGCUCAUGAAGCACCAGGACCUUGGCAGCCUCGGUUCUUGUGGGAAGCUGAUAUAG
This is a non-coding RNA of Myotis brandtii (Brandt's bat), 486 nucleotides long. The record is from the annotation of a RefSeq genome assembly. Lineage: Eukaryota; Metazoa; Chordata; Mammalia; Chiroptera; Vespertilionidae.